GGGGGGGGAGGGCUACCAUGCAGUCGAACGGUAACAGGAAACAAGCUUGCUUCUUCGCUGACGAGUGGCGGACGGGUGAGUAAUGUCUGGGAAACUGCCUGAUGGAGGGGGAUAACUACUGGAAACGGUAGCUAAUACCGCAUAACGUCGCAAGACCAAAGAGGGGGACCUUCGGGCCUCUUGCCAUCGGAUGUGCCCAGAUGGGAUUAGCUAGUAGGUGGGGUAACGGCUCACCUAGGCGACGAUCCCUAGCUGGUCUGAGAGGAUGACCAGCCACACUGGAACUGAGACACGGUCCAGACUCCUACGGGAGGCAGCAGUGGGGAAUAUUGCACAAUGGGCGCAAGCCUGAUGCAGCCAUGCCGCGUGUAUGAAGAAGGCCUUCGGGUUGUAAAGUACUUUCAGCGGGGAGGAAGGGAGUAAAGUUAAUACCUUUGCUCAUUGACGUUACCCGCAGAAGAAGCACCGGCUAACUCCGUGCCAGCAGCCGCGGUAAUACGGAGGGUGCAAGCGUUAAUCGGAAUUACUGGGCGUAAAGCGCACGCAGGCGGUUUGUUAAGUCAGAUGUGAAAUCCCCGGGCUCAACCUGGGAACUGCAUC
Molecule: ribosomal RNA, 600 nt
Filed under: Escherichia coli
Lineage: Bacteria; Pseudomonadati; Pseudomonadota; Gammaproteobacteria; Enterobacterales; Enterobacteriaceae
Description: bacterial SSU rRNA
Rfam family: Bacterial small subunit ribosomal RNA
Source: RNAcentral